CGUGGGGAACCUGCCCCAUAGUCUGGGAUGCCACUUGGAAACAGGUGCUAAUACCGGAUAAGAAAGCAGAUCGCAUGAUCAGCUUUUAAAAGGCGGCGUAAGCUGUCGCUAUGGGAUGGCCCCGCGGUGCAUUAGUUAGUUGGUAAGGUAAAGGCUUACCAAGGCGAUGAUGCAUAGCCGAGUUGAGAGACUGAUCGGCCACAUUGGGACUGAGACACGGCCCAAACUCCUACGGGAGGCAGCAGGC
Molecule: ribosomal RNA, 247 nt
Filed under: uncultured Lactobacillus sp.
Lineage: Bacteria; Bacillati; Bacillota; Bacilli; Lactobacillales; Lactobacillaceae
Description: partial 16S ribosomal RNA
Rfam family: Bacterial small subunit ribosomal RNA
Source: RNAcentral